AGAAGUAAUCUAACUCCGAAUUUCCCUAUGUACUAGUCAAAAGUGAUAAAAAAGCAAGUUUUUUGCUAUUAGGCCGAGCAAAUUUUGGGAGUAGAGUAGAGUAUAUCGAAUUCAAAGGUCUGACAGCUCUAAUUUUGUGCUUUAUAAGGUUUUCGGUUGGUUAAAUAACGUAAGUUUUCCAGUUAGUGUGAAUGAGCUAAAUUUACACUAUUUCAAAUUAUAAUAAUAAAAAUUGGUGCUCUGUCAUUUUUCCUAAAUCUGGACACCUCAAUCUUGGCAGUGUAGUUAGUAGAACUGAAGAUAUAAGCUUUUUUAAAUUACCAUAUUGGGAUUUUCAAUUCAAAUAAACAAACAAAAAUUAAAAAACAAAAGUCUCUAAAACAUAAUCGCUAAACGGCUUAUAUCUUGAGUUCUAUUGGUCACAUCCUCAAGGUUGGAGUGUUCAGAUUUAGGAAAAAUGACAGAGCAUCAGUUUUUUAUUUAUAAUUUGCAAUGGUUAAAAUUUAGAUCAUUCACAUUAACUGGAAAACUUACGUUUUUUAACCCCUCGAAAACAGUAUAAAGCAUAAAAUUAGAGUUGUCAGACCUUUGAAUUCGAUAUUAAGACGCGUAUGGCUGCACAACUGCGUACUUAUAUUUUGGCAAUAUCUCUACUCCCAAAAUUUGCUCGGCCUAAUAGCAAAAAACUUGCUUUUUUCUCACUUUUGACUAGUAAAUAUAGCCCAGUCAUUUUAGUCAUUUUUAAGCCCAAUCUGCGGAAAAAUUCCUACUGGGCUGAAUUUUGGUAUACAGCUUAAUGACGGCUUUGUUAUGAAGAUGUGAAAAAUCGACAUUGAUAUCGUGUCCGCGUUAAGAGUUAUAGGGGUCAAAAGGUCACAAAAACUGGUUUUUCACGAUUUUCAGCAAAACGGUAAGUCUUAUCAAAAAAUUUUCAAAGCAAGAAUUGUAGACCAGAUUAUUAUAUAUAAAAAGUGUCAUGACACUUUUUUUCCUAAGACCCACCGUUUCUUAGGUAUAACGAUUCAAAAAGUUGAAGUUUAGUUGUAAUCGUCAUAAUCCUAUUCCUGAAAAAAAAAACUCCUAACUGAAAAGUUCCUGAAAUUUCAUUAUUUUUUUAGCUUGAAUUUCGUUCCUCAACUGUUAAGAAUAUGGGGAAACCAAAAAAAAAUGGAAAUUUUCGCCAUUUUUCCGAUUGGGGCCCUUCUCCCGAAACCAUUUCCCUGGGAAUUUUGUUUAGAAUAUGUCUGAAAAUAUACAGGGUGUGCAAUAGAGAAUGGACAACCCUAAAACGGCUUAUAGCUACACUUAUGAUUGUUCUAAAAACAGAUAGAAAAAAGUUCUAUCGCAAUCAGUUCAUAAAAUAUGGACUUUUUUUCGUUCAGUGUAUUUUAAAUUUUAUCAUCUUAUGUUUUCGUUCACUACAACCACGAAUGAAUGAAUUUUAUUUAUUUCUUUUUUUUAUAAUUUUCUACAAUAAUUGGAUGAGUACAUAAACACUUUAAAAAUUUCAUAGCUAUUGCACAUUUUCGUAAAAAAAAUUUUGAAAUCUGUUUUUUGAUGCAAAAUGUAAAAAAAGUAUUUUAUGAAAAAUUUUAAACACCUGUGAUAUAAAAUAAAUCUAUAGAAACCUAGGUGUCCAUCUUUCUUAAAAAUAUUCUCCUUAUACCAGAAUAUUUUUAAGAAAGUUGGCCACCUAGGUUUCUAUAGAUUUUUUAGAUAAUUUUAUUGUUAAUAAGCCUAACCUUUGUCAUUUUUUGUUAAAAUGAAUAACAAUGGAGCUAUUCAAUAAAAAAGAUACCAAUCUCUUUUCCAAAAUGGCGGCUGUUCCCAACCUCCAAUCAACCCAACAAAUUGACUUUUAUGAUGAGGACAAACUCCCGAACACAUUCCAUGAAAAAAAUUUUGUCCCACGAAAAAUGCGAUUUCAUGCCCAUAUUUUGACUAAUUUCCCUGAGCUAUAGGUAUUUUGUUAAUUUUUUUUAAAUAAAUGAAAACUGACUUUAAAAACUUUGUAUUUUUGUCGUUAAUCGGCCUUUUGAGAGUUUUCUGUGGAAAAUGUUUCCCCAUAUUAUUUUUGUUUUUGAAAUAUAAUUUUUCGUUUAAUUUUUUGCCACAAAAUUCAAGUGUUAAGUAGCUAUCGAUUAAAUCGCAUUUUACCUCAAGCAAAGUUAAUAAAAAAAAAUUAGUUUUAUGAAUGUGGAUAACCUUUCGCUCUUAAUAAGGAAAAACUGAAAUUUAAAUUUUCCGGGUGUAAACUUGUUCACAAGAAACUCCAGGUACGAAUGUGAAAAAAAAAAAAUAUUUAAAAAAAUCGGUUAGACAUCAAAUGGGUUUCUAAAAUAUUAAUAAGUACCUAUAUUAAAAAAAAUUGAAAGCUGAUUAAGAAAUAAUAUCAACAAGAGUUAUUCAGUUGACGACCAGCCAUUUCUCUUAGGCGCCUUUUAAGUAUGGAAGUAGUAUCGACACUUAAACAAGUCAGUUAAUUUCAAGAAUCUCUUUUUAAACGCAACAUCCAGAGUUCCAAUUUGACGUCGGGGUUGUCUGGCUUUCUCAAGAUUUUGAAUAGUACGUCUCCUUGCAAUACGAUCGGGACCACUACCGGAGUCAUUGUCGUAGUCCCCUCCAUCUAUACCUUGCAAACGUUAGCAUCCUGUGAUAAAUCUUCAGAUUUCUUCUUGCACCAAUUAAGCUCUGUAGAAGCUAAGAUAUGCGAUAUGGUCCCAAAUCGAUGGAACAACAUAGCAGAGAAUUGUAUCACC
Long non-coding RNA from Episyrphus balteatus (marmalade hoverfly), 2759 nucleotides. RefSeq lists it as uncharacterized. The transcript is spliced from 3 exons. NCBI's taxonomy places the organism in Eukaryota, Metazoa, Arthropoda, Insecta, Diptera, Syrphidae. The record is from RefSeq and is a predicted model, not a curated record.